This 113-nucleotide Y RNA is filed under the name Prolemur simus (greater bamboo lemur). RNAcentral describes it as "Y RNA (ENSPSMG00000018948.1)". It matches the Rfam family "Y RNA". Rfam says of the family: Y RNAs are components of the Ro ribonucleoprotein particle (Ro RNP), in association with Ro60 and La proteins. The Y RNAs and Ro60 and La proteins are well conserved, but the function of the Ro RNP is not known. In humans the RNA component can be one of four small RNAs -- hY1, hY3, hY4 and hY5. The record is from Rfam by way of RNAcentral. Lineage: Eukaryota; Metazoa; Chordata; Mammalia; Primates; Lemuridae.
GGUUGAUCUGAAGAUAGUGAGUUAUCUCAACUGAUUGUUCACAGUCAGUUACAGAUCAAACUCCUUGUUCCACUCUUUCCCUCCUUCUCACUACUGUACUUGACUAGUCUUUU